CCUGCCCAAAGAGAUCGGGAUAACACCUGGGAAACAGAUGCUAAUACCGGAUAACAACAGAUGAUGCCUAUCAACUGUUUAAAAGAUGGUUCUGCUAUCACUCUUGGGAUGGACCUGCGGUGCAUUAGCUAGUUGGUAGGGUAACGGCCUACCCAAGGCGAUGAUGCAUAGCCGAGUUGAGAGACUGAUCGGCCACAUUGGGACUGAGACACGGCCCAAAACUCCUACGGGAGGCAGCAGUAGGGAAUCUUCCACAAUGGACGCAAGUCUGAUGGAGCAACGCCGCGUGAGUGAAGAAGGGUUUCGGCUCGUAAAGCUCUGUUGUUGGUGAAGAAGGACAGGGGUAGUAACUGACCUUUGUUUGACGGUAAUCAAUUAGAAAGUCACGGCUAACUACGUGCCAGCAGCCGCGGUAAU
RNAcentral lists this ribosomal RNA (417 nucleotides) under uncultured Lactobacillus sp. RNAcentral describes it as "bacterial SSU rRNA". It matches the Rfam family "Bacterial small subunit ribosomal RNA", at positions 125 to 524 of the family's 1533-position model. Lineage: Bacteria; Bacillati; Bacillota; Bacilli; Lactobacillales; Lactobacillaceae. The record is from RNAcentral.